RNAcentral lists this long non-coding RNA (308 nucleotides) under Mytilus galloprovincialis (Mediterranean mussel). The record is from RNAcentral. Lineage: Eukaryota; Metazoa; Mollusca; Bivalvia; Mytilida; Mytilidae.
UUGUAUUUGCAUUUUUUUUUAAUGUUUCUGAUAAUGAAUUUGAUUGAGCCAAAUACCUCAAAACCAUCGUAGAUAGUUACUUUUAAUCGAGAUGACCAAAACGAGUCGUCAGAAUUUAACGGCAUAACUUCAAAUUGAUACCACUAUAGUUUUUAUAGAACCUGGAUUUUAAAGUAUUUAACAGGAACCUUCUUUUAUAAUAUUCAACAUACAGAAGUGGAUAUCAAAGGUAGAAAAUUAGAAUACUUAAAGCCAACGGGUAAGGCAAAUUAUGAAAGGAAUAGAGCCAGCCACCCCAAUAAACGGCC